This 789-nucleotide ribosomal RNA is filed under the name Callogorgia formosa. RNAcentral's name for it is "eukaryotic LSU rRNA". It matches the Rfam family "Eukaryotic large subunit ribosomal RNA", at positions 402 to 999 of the family's 3401-position model. The record is from RNAcentral. Lineage: Eukaryota; Metazoa; Cnidaria; Anthozoa; Scleralcyonacea; Primnoidae.
AAACCGUUGGAAGGGAAGCGAAUGGAGUUGGCAAAUCGCCUUGUCGGAUUCAGCCGUUUCAGUGUCGCGUCGUGCUCGGUCCCGAUCUUUUUAGACGAGCCUUGCGCGGUCGCGUCGCGUGGGCGGUGCACUUCCGGCCGGCGAACGUCAACGUCAGUUUGCCGUGAGUCAGAAAGCUGCGAGCACGGUAGGUCUCUCGGGAUCGGUAUAGGCUCGCGUGCCCAUGGCUCGAUGCAGACUGUGUUAUGUCGCAGCGCGUACCUCCCCUCGGGGCAGGCUGCUGUCUUUGUCGUUGAAUCGGUGAUGGUGCUCGACGGACGGCUUUGCCWGUGCGCCUGGGCGCGGCCGUUCAACCGAUGGGGCAAACAGACACGACGCGCUGAGGACGUUGACCGCCCAGCGACUCCAUCCGACCCGUCUUGAAACACGGACCAAGGAGUCUAACAUGUGCGCAAGUCUCAGAGCGAUCGAAACUCGUGGGCGUAAUGAAAGUGAAUGCAGUCUCGGCUGCAGAGAUGAGACGCUGCGCGCUUGUUGCAAGCGGCAUCAUCGACCGACCUAUUCUACUCUUAGAAAGGUUUGAGUUAGAGCGUACCUGUCGGGACCCGAAAGAUGGUGAACUAUGCCUGAAUAGGGCGAAGCCAGCGGAAACACUGGUGGAAGCCCGUAGCGAUUCUGACGUGCAAAUCGAUCGUCGAAUUUGGGUAUAGCGGCGAAAGACUAAUCGAACCAUCUAGUAGCUGGUUCCCUCCGAAGUUUCUCACAGGAUAGCUGGAACUCGGUGGCAGU